AGGAGGAGGGGGCGGAGAAUACAGAAAAGGGUUUUGAUUUGAGAGAUAUUUAAUAGAUAAAAUUAGGGCAAGGCAAAAUGAGGAAGAGAGAGACCUGGGAUUCAGGCUUGGGUAACUGGGUGCUCUUUCCAUUGCCUCGCAGAGCGCCUGCACACGCUAAGGCUGAGCGCACACCAUUUGGACCUUUGCCUACAGGCUAAGCAGCCCACCCGGUUCAAUGGAAGGACAGACCCAAACUGCCCUGUCUGUGAUGUUCCCUGCCCCUUCUAGUGAUGUCUGACACCUUCACCGGAGACCCGGAGACAGAAGUCCCACUGCUCUGAAGGCCAGAAUGGAUUGUUGCUGAUGCCUGCUGGCUGGGGGUGAGACCUCUCUGGUGCCUCAACACCCUGUAAGACCUCAGGACCUUUGCUUCACCUUGGUGGGGGAACCCUAAGAAAGGCUGAAGUUGAGUGUCUUGCUAAUCCAGCAAGAUGGGCAUUCAGAGUAGAAGAUCUGUUCGGAGGACUCCUGACUAAGAGCCAGCUCCUGAAACCGAAAGCCUUGUGAUUUGGAGUUGGACACAUCUGGUUGUGGUUUGCCCAGGUCAGCAGGCCUGCGCUAGUGAGCUGGUUAGAACUUCCCCUCUCGGGGCCGUGUGUUGACUGCUGCAAGCCUGCGGGACACCGGACACCAUGUGUGGUCCCCCACAUGAAAGGACCCUGUCUGCCGGGCCUCCAGGGAGUCAUCCUCAAAGGAAGCUGGGUUCCGGGAAAGCUCUAUGUGGAGCUGUGACCCCACGGAGCCACGCUGACCCUGGCAGGUGAUGCCCUCAGCUUCCAUCACAGGUGGCCAUGGCAAGUGGCCACAGGGAAUGGGGUUAUCUGCUACCUGUUGCGGGAGGGAGGUCGUGUUUCUAGCAGAGUGCCUAGAGAUCCGAGCUUCACAGAAGAUUGUGACAUGCUUCGGGCUUUCUCGUAUUGAGAUCCGUGCAACAGGCCAUGCCUCUCUUUUCCCUUUGACUACCAGAAAGCUCAGAACCAAAUAAGUGGUUCAGUUAUAACAAUUGACUUCAUCUUUGUGGUCCAUGCUCCUAUGUUUCUCUCUCUCAUUCUGACAAACUUUUGCUGCUGUUUCUAUUUUCCCGCUUCUUGGUCUCGGCUGAGUGAUUCAGCCCAGGUCCUGCCAUGCUCUUCCUGGGUCUGAAUCCCAGCUCCACCAUUCACUAGCCAUGUGGUCGGGUUAUUUAAUCUUUCUGUAACUCGGCACCUCAGGUGUUAAAUGGGGGUAAUAGCUGCAUCUACUUCAUGGGUGGAUUACAAGGAUUAAAUGAGAUAAUACAUACCAAGGGCUUAGAACAAUGCAUGGUACAGAGUAGGCAAUAGAUGUCAGCCUAAUUCCCCACUCUUUUAUUAGCGCUGUACGUGAAUUUGGUGUGAGCUGUAAGAAGAAUAUUAGGGAAAAAAAAGAUAAUUUUUCCAUUAUUUUUCAAAACUCUAAAGAGCUGGCUGGAGCAGAGAAAGAUACUAAGAACAAGCAUUUCUGGUUGUCAGGCAUUGAACAACCCACUUCACACUUUGUUUCAUUCUUACAAAACCCCCAAGAUGUGAACGUUGUGAUUAUACC
This is a long non-coding RNA of Felis catus (domestic cat), 1605 nucleotides long. RefSeq lists it as uncharacterized. The record is from RefSeq and is a predicted model, not a curated record. Lineage: Eukaryota; Metazoa; Chordata; Mammalia; Carnivora; Felidae. The transcript is spliced from 4 exons.